Molecule: ribosomal RNA, 484 nt
Filed under: uncultured Flavobacteriaceae bacterium
Lineage: Bacteria; Pseudomonadati; Bacteroidota; Flavobacteriia; Flavobacteriales; Flavobacteriaceae
Description: bacterial SSU rRNA
Rfam family: Bacterial small subunit ribosomal RNA
Source: RNAcentral
GAUGAACGCUAGCGGCAGGCCUAACACAUGCAAGUCGAGGGGUAACGGGGAGUGCUUGCACUCUGCCGACGACCGGCGCACGGGUGCGGAACGCGUAUGGAACCUGCCCCUGUCAGGGGAAUAGCCCAGAGAAAUUUGGAUUAAUGCCCCAUGGUAUCGGAGUGGCACAUGUUGCUUCGAUUAAAGAUUUAUCGGACAGGGAUGGCCAUGCGUACCAUUAGCUUGUUGGUGAGGUAACGGCUUACCAAGGCAACGAUGGUUAGGGGCCCUGAGAGGGGGAUCCCCCACACUGGUACUGAGACACGGACCAGACUCCUACGGGAGGCAGCAGUGAGGAAUAUUGGACAAUGGGCGGGAGCCUGAUCCAGCCAUGCCGCGUGCAGGAUGACUGCCCUAUGGGUUGUAAACUGCUUUUAUACGGGAAGAAACGCGACCACGUGUGGUCGUUUGACGGUACCGUAAGAAUAAGGACCGGCUAACUCCG